CCUACGGGAGGCAGCAGUGGGGAAUAUUGCACAAUGGGGGAAACCCUGAUGCAGCGACGCCGCGUGAGUGAAGAAGUAUUUCGGUAUGUAAAGCUCUGUCAGCAGGGAAGAAAAUGACGGUACCUGUCCAAGAAGCCCCGGCUAACUACGUGCCAGCAGCCGCGGUAAUACGUAGGGGGCAAGCGUUAUCCGGAUUUACUGGGUGUAAAGGGGGCGUAGACGGUAGGGCAAGGCUGGAGUGAAAGGCGGGGGCUCAACCCCCGGACUGCUCUGGAAACUGCCAGGCUGGAGUGCAGGAGAGGUAAGUGGAAUUCCUGGUGUAGCGGUGAAAUGCGUAGAUAUUAGGAGGAACACCAGUGGCGAAGGCGGCUUACUGGACUGUAACUGACGUUGAGGCUCGAAAGCGUGGGGAGCAAACAGGAUUAGAUACCCGUGUAGUC
Molecule: ribosomal RNA, 440 nt
Filed under: uncultured bacterium
Lineage: Bacteria
Description: partial 16S ribosomal RNA
Rfam family: Bacterial small subunit ribosomal RNA
Source: RNAcentral